Molecule: ribosomal RNA, 254 nt
Filed under: uncultured bacterium
Lineage: Bacteria
Description: partial 16S ribosomal RNA
Rfam family: Bacterial small subunit ribosomal RNA
Source: RNAcentral
UACGUAGGGUCCAAGCGUUAUCCGGAAUCACUGGGCGUAAAGCGUUCGUAGGCGGUUUUUCAAGUUGGGUGUGAAAUCCUAUGGCUCAACCAUAUGGACUGUGCCCAAAACUGAAAGACUAGAGCAUAGUAGAGGCAAGUGGAACUUGCGGUGUAGGAGUGACAUCCGUAGAUAUCGCAAAGAACACCAAUGGCGAAGGCAGCUUGCUGGGCUAUUGCUGACGCUCAGGAACGAAAGCGUGGGGAGCGAACGGG